Molecule: ribosomal RNA, 656 nt
Filed under: uncultured Bacteroidales bacterium
Lineage: Bacteria; Pseudomonadati; Bacteroidota; Bacteroidia; Bacteroidales
Description: bacterial SSU rRNA
Rfam family: Bacterial small subunit ribosomal RNA
Source: RNAcentral
CUUAGCUUGCUAAGGCUGAUGGCGACCGGCGCACGGGUGAGUAACACGUAUCCAACCUGCCGUCUACUCUUGGCCAGCCUUCUGAAAGGAAGAUUAAUCCAGGAUGGGAUCAUGAGUUCACAUGUCCGCAUGAUUAAAGGUAUUUUCCGGUAGACGAUGGGGAUGCGUUCCAUUAGAUAGUAGGCGGGGUAACGGCCCACCUAGUCAACGAUGGAUAGGGGUUCUGAGAGGAAGGUCCCCCACAUUGGAACUGAGACACGGUCCAAACUCCUACGGGAGGCAGCAGUGAGGAAUAUUGGUCAAUGGGCGAUAGCCUGAACCAGCCAAGUAGCGUGAAGGAUGACUGCCCUAUGGGUUGUAAACUUCUUUUAUAAAGGAAUAAAGUCGGGUAUGCAUACCCGUUUGCAUGUACCUUAUGAAUAAGGAUCGGCUAACUCCGUGCCAGCAGCCGCGGUAAUACGGAGGAUCCGAGCGUUAUCCGGAUUUAUUGGGUUUAAAGGGAGCGUAGAUGGAUGUUUAAGUCAGUUGUGAAAGUUUGCGGCUCAACCGUAAAAUUGCAGUUGAUACUGGAUGUCUUGAGUGCAGUUGAGGCAGGCGGAAUUCGUGGUGUAGCGGUGAAAUGCUUAGAUAUCACGAAGAACUCCGAUUGCGAAGGC